UGAUCCGGGUUGCGGACAGUGUCUGGUGGGUAGUUUGACUGGGGCGGUCUCCUCCUAAAGAGUAACGGAGGAGCACGAAGGUUGGCUAAUCCUGGUCGGACAUCAGGAGGUUAGUGCAAUGGCAUAAGCCAGCUUGACUGCGAGCGUGACGGCGCGAGCAGGUGCGAAAGCAGGUCAUAGUGAUCCGGUGGUUCUGAAUGGAAGGGCCAUCGCUCAACGGAUAAAAGGUACUCCGGGGAUAACAGGCUGAUACCGCCCAAGAGUUCAUAUCGACGGCGGUGUUUGGCACCUCGAUGUCGGCUCAUCACAUCCUGGGGCUGAAGUAGGUCCCAAGGGUAUGGCUGUUCGCCAUUUAAAGUGGUACGCGAGCUGGGUUUAGAACGUCGUGAGACAGUUCGGUCCCUAUCUGCCGUGGGCGCUGGAGAACUGAGGGGGGCUGCUCCUAGUACGAGAGGACCGGAGUGGACGCAUCACUGGUGUUCGGGUUGUCAUGCCAAUGGCACUGCCCGGUAGCUAAAUGCGGAAGAGAUAAGUGCUGAAAGCAUCUAAGCACGAAACUUGCCCCGAG
RNAcentral lists this ribosomal RNA (568 nucleotides) under Salmonella enterica. RNAcentral's name for it is "partial 23S ribosomal RNA". It matches the Rfam family "Bacterial large subunit ribosomal RNA", at positions 2236 to 2803 of the family's 2925-position model. The record is from RNAcentral. Lineage: Bacteria; Pseudomonadati; Pseudomonadota; Gammaproteobacteria; Enterobacterales; Enterobacteriaceae.